RNAcentral lists this long non-coding RNA (1151 nucleotides) under Mytilus galloprovincialis (Mediterranean mussel). Lineage: Eukaryota; Metazoa; Mollusca; Bivalvia; Mytilida; Mytilidae. The record is from RNAcentral.
AAAUAAUUACAUUUUAAUCUCAUAAUUAAAAUUGUUACAUAGAAAUUCAUAGUAAAUUGAAAUACAAUUAUACCUUUGUUAAAAAUAAUGAUUACAGUUGAUUUUCAUUAUGAAGACAGUUUGAAGAUGCUAUUUAACAACAAAAAACUUACCAUUUGGGACAACCUUUGACAAGACAAUUUUAAACAAUCAUCUUAUUUUCUUAAAUACAACAAUUUCAGCUGAUGAGAAUAUCUUGUUUCAUCUUAAAUUCUACAAUUCUAUUGAAAAUGUCUUCCAUCAGUACUCAACAAAUUACAUAUUUAAAUUAAAAACAGAGAACACAUUCUUUUUUGGCUUGUUGUUUAUGGUUUAAAAUGAGAAAAGAUGGCUGUAAAAAUGUAACUUUUGAAAACAUAUAAAGAUACAAAUAUAGUAAAAUGCUUAGCUGAGCACAUCCUGAUAUGACAACAGAAUGAACCCUGAAAAGUUUGGGCAAGUUUGGACACAAUAUUCAAGCUUGAUACUGUCUAAAUUUGGAUUGUGCUCAAACUUUUGAUACAAUGUAGGUUUUUGGCACAAAAUAAAUGUGGUCAAAGAUAUUUCUGUGCAAUACAAUGCUAAUAUAGAUUUCUUCUAUAAACUUUUCAAAAAUUUCAAUAUGAAAAAAUGAAAAAAAAAACAUAUGAACAACCCCCCAAAAAAACGUCUUGCAAAAUUUCAUAGUCAUCCAUACAAAUUUAACAAUUUGUUUUUUUCAAUGAAAUUAAAUGUGUCUUCAGACUACAAGCUGAAGACUACGCUGUUUAAUACAACAUCAUAGCAUUAUAUGCAUAACAAUAAUACUGGCCAUAACUUACAUUAAUAUUACAAUCUGAUUGGAGUAUUAAUUUAUGAGGUAGUUGAAAACUAAUUUCUACACAUACACAAAAUGACAGAAUAGCUAAAACAUCACAAAAACAUUAAAAUAGAUUUAUCUACAUUUAUACACUUUAAGACAUGAUCAAAUCAGUUAUAAAAUUAUUUCCAGCUACUUGUACAAUCUUACAAGUUGAGUGUUCUUCCUCCAAUAUUUUCUAUAUAUACAAUGGUCCCAAAAAUGAUUUAAACAUAUUUUUAUUCAGUUUUGAAUACAAUGCUUUAUAAAAUAUUUUCACUCACUUUUGUAUUAA